GACGAACGCUGGCGGCGUGCCUAAUACAUGCAAGUUGAGCGCUUAAGGUUGGUCCUUGUACCAACUGGAUGAGCAGCGAACGGGUGAGUAACGCGUGGGGAAUCUGCCUUUGAGCGGGGGACAACAUUUGGAAACGAAUGCUAAUACCGCAUAAAAACUUUAAACACAAGUUUUAAGUUUGAAAGAUGCAAUUGCAUCACUCAAAGAUGAUCCCGCGUUGUAUUAGCUAGUUGGUGAGGUAAAGGCUCACCAAGGCGAUGAUACAUAGCCGACCUGAGAGGGUGAUCGGCCACAUUGGGACUGAGACACGGCCCAAACUCCUACGGGAGGCAGCAGUAGGGAAUCUUCGGCAAUGGACGAAAGUCUGACCGAGCAACGCCGCGUGAGUGAAGAAGGUUUUCGGAUCGUAAAACUCUGUUGGUAGAGAAGAACGUUGGUGAGAGUGGAAAGCUCAUCAAGUGACGGUAACUACCCAGAAAGGGACGGCUAACUACGUG
RNAcentral lists this ribosomal RNA (497 nucleotides) under uncultured bacterium. Its description in RNAcentral is "partial 16S ribosomal RNA". It matches the Rfam family "Bacterial small subunit ribosomal RNA", at positions 28 to 507 of the family's 1533-position model. The record is from RNAcentral.